CAGUCUGGAUGUGUAUUUUCAUCUGUUGGUAUCAAUCUAUACAGUAAAUACCAUUCAGAUUGCA
Molecule: microRNA precursor, 64 nt
Filed under: Saccoglossus kowalevskii
Lineage: Eukaryota; Metazoa; Hemichordata; Enteropneusta; Harrimaniidae
Description: Sko-Mir-4828-P1_pre stem-loop
Source: RNAcentral